CACGCCUAGCUCUGCCCACUGGGGCGUGGCUCAUAGCGCUCUCUGGAAUAAGCGCUUGUUUCAAAUAUGUUUAAGUUAACCUCAUUAUUCUUUGCUCGUAUCGUCGUAUUCCACCCGAUCGAGUUCUCAUCACAUCACACCAGAAACAUGGUAUGCUGUCAUUUGACUUUACAACGUUUAUUUUAGAUUCAUUACAGGGCUCCGGAGUGGCGCCUCGGUGCAAGAGGCGUCCCUACAGUCCCUGGUUCGAAUACAGGCUGUAUGACAUCCGGCCGUGAUUGGGAGUCCCAUAGGGCGGCGCACAAUUGGCCCAGCGUCGUCCGGGGUUUUACGGUCAUUGUAAAUAAGAAUUUGGUUAAAUACAAUUACUCAAAAUGACGGCGCCGAAGCAGACACGACUUUUCACAGGGAAAUAGGCUAAUGUUGGUUGAUGAUUCGGACACGCACUUUGAAAAGCGAUGAUGUCGAGAUUGUUCGGGACUUCUCUAUUUGAACCCCGGACUGCUCGGUGAACCUCACUGAACUGGAUCGGGGUCUUCAAGGACCAAAAACUUUGCUUUGCCAGCUGACGAGCAGGCCCAAGAUCUUCUCUUCAAAGUGCAGAUGCACAAGGUGACAUCGUUUUAAGACUUCUGCCAGUGGUCCUCCCACACCAGUCUACAAGAUUGGCAGGAAGACAUUCCGACCCAGCUUCUAAGAGACCAGAAAGUCCUUCAUUGACUUGCAGCCUGUAAAUUUAAAUAGUCGAUAGGGAGAUGGAUGGGGAAAUUAGAUUAUAGCGUUUGUAAGCCUUGAAUGAACAGAACACCAUUCCAAUAUCUGUUAUGCAGAACGGCACACUCCAAGACAUUGUUGUGUAAAUUAACCUAUAGAUACUGUAGGCAGGCCCCUGAGUAUGGUACAGCCCAUUGCGCAUAUGUUAAAUUGCCUACUUAUAACAUGACAACGGCUGUAUUCAUUUUUACAUUUUUAUUAAUUCUAUAAACAUUUUGUAUGUGCUUGGUUGGUCACUUUUAACAUACUUCCAUGGUGUCUUAAUUAAAUACACUUUCAUCUAAAUGUAAAAUGUUAGCAUGAACAGAUACACUGUCGCAUGGAAGGUACGUCAUGAUUAUCAGCCGAAAAGACGAUUCCAACACUUUCUUAAAUAGCUCUGCUUUUAAGAUGCUGAUAAGCUGUUACGUACCAUUUUGUUUGAACAAUAUUAGGAGAAAAAGACAACCAAAUGAAGUUUCAUCAACUGCACAUGAACCAGGUUAGAAGUACCUCAUGGUUUCUGGCAAUUACGCUGUGAUGAUUAUGAUUGAAAGCUGUGAGCUCCUGUUACUCAAUACAUGUAUGUGUGUUCAAAGCACUUCAUCACUGGUAAGUCGGUAACACUUGUUUGUAUCUCACUAGCUAUGUGUAUUGCACAAAGCUUGCUAGUUAGCUUGUAGUAAGGACUAGUGAGCUGUAUCCAAAUAACAGCUAUAAUAUUCUUCUGCAUUUGGAUAUUUAUGCAAACCUGUAGAUUCCACCAUUUCAAAUUUCGCUACAUAAGACCGGAUUAAGCCGGUAGGUCACAUAUAGGCAAAAAUCCUCUUUUCUAAUUACCUAGACCGUUCAAAGGCAGGCAAAGACUAAGUAUUUACGCGACAUAUCUAAGACUAGCGAAUUAGAUUGAGAUGAACUUCUCUCACUAGAGUUGGCAGGUCGGGGAACACAUUAGCGUGGCAGAAUAAGUAUAAUGUAAAUCACGUUGUUGUGACAGACAAGUAUGUACCUCUUAUGGCUGCAUUCCUUGUUCUCAAUUUCCACCUGAAGACAUACCCUAAUCUAACUUCCUGUAGCUCAGCCCCAGAGGCAAGGAUAUGCAUAUUCUUGGUAUCAUUUGAAUGGAAACAUUCUGAAGUUUGUGGAAAUGUUAAUUGAAUGUAGGAGAAUAUAACACAGUAGAUCUGGUGGAAGAAAAGAGAAAGAAAGAGCAUACGUUUUCUGUUUUUUAUUGUAGUAUCAUCUUUCACAUGUACUAGAAUAGCUGGAGAUAAUUUGUAGGUGUGCAAAGUUUCAGACUGAUAACUUCAGGAAUGGGUGAGCUACAUGACAUUUAGCAUGAAGUCACCCAGGUGUCCCACACAAGUUGCCCAAAUGUACCCAAGUGGCCGAAUUGGUGAAAUUACCUAUAACUAUAUACAACAGUGCAAAUAACUAUAUACAACAUAUCAAAAAGCAAUUCUAACAUACACAAAAAAAAUGUUAAAACAUUUAUUUUCUAACAUUUAAAAAAAAAAAAAACAGUACACCCUUUGGAAGUCCUCUACACAAUAUUUUGCUGCCUGUGCCAUGUCCCAUAGCAGUCUCUUUCUGAUGUAAAGCAGAGGCAAACUGAACAAGUGGUGCAGGUCAUGUGACACAGAACACAACGACACCUCCAUGCUGUGCCCUUUUGGCCCUGAGACACAGUUAUGCCUGCAGUAAUGAACUGUGGCAUAUGAACACCACUGGAGGCAGGAGUAGAGGGGGCAGAGAUAGAGCGGGCAGUUUGGCACCGGGGGCUCCCAGUCGGAGUCGCUAUCACUGUGAAAGAAAACAAGAACAAUAUUUGUAUUGUAU
Molecule: long non-coding RNA, 2592 nt
Organism: Oncorhynchus tshawytscha (Chinook salmon)
Lineage: Eukaryota; Metazoa; Chordata; Actinopteri; Salmoniformes; Salmonidae
Source: Ensembl